RNA transcript from Harmonia axyridis, 1517 nucleotides. It is a transcript of the gene named transcriptional adapter 2B, with no coding region annotated. The record is from RefSeq and is a predicted model, not a curated record. NCBI's taxonomy places the organism in Eukaryota, Metazoa, Arthropoda, Insecta, Coleoptera, Coccinellidae. The transcript is spliced from 9 exons.
GUGACAACUGACAGACAUAAACGACAGACUAUUUUAGGAAGAACAUGGCGGAUGUUUUCGCUAAAGUUUCAUGCACAUAUUGUCAAGAUGAGAUUAAUGGAGUCAGGGUUCAAUGCUGUGAAUGCUCUGAUUUCGAUAUAUGUUUGCAGUGUUUUGCCAGUGGUGCAGAAAUUGGCUCUCACAAAAAUGAUCACUCUUAUAGAUUUGUUGAUCAUUGUGCCUUAGCUCUUGGUGGUAGAGGUAAUUGGACAGGUCGAGAGGAGCUACUCUUGUUAGAUGCUGUAGAGCUAUAUGGAUUUGGAAAUUGGGAUCUUGUCAGCCAACAUGUUAAAACAAGGACACCAGAAGAGGUGAAAGAAGAAUAUAUUAGUAGAUAUCUUGAUGGUAACAUAGGCAAAUUGACAUGGGGUGAUGUUGAAAAACGAAGGCCAGUAUUAGUAGAUCAAGUACCUGAAGAUAAAGGCCCCUUAGCUCCAGCAGUCACUUCUAAACUACCUCCUUUAGAUAUAACACCAGAAGAAGCGAUAUUGUUAGGCUAUAAACCUCAUAGAGAUGAUUAUGAAAGGGAAUAUGAUAUGCCUGCAGAACAGAUUGUUUCUUCUCUGCAAUUAGAUACCACAAAAGAUUCAAAAGUCGAGAUAUUGAUGAAAUUAGCUAUGGUCGAUAUGUACAUAAGAAAAUUAAGGGAACGUACUAGAAGAAAACGGGUAGUUAGAGAUUAUCAGCUUGUCUCUAAAUUCUUCUCAAAAGAUAAGAAAGAUCCCAACAAGAAACCUCUUACCAAAGAACAAAAAGAACUUAGGGAUCAGAUGCGUGUCUUCAGUCAGUUUCAAACUUCAGCUGAACAUGAGAGAUUGAUAGCCAACAUUGAAAGGGAACGUGAACUCAGGCAUAGAUUAAACGAACUACUUAAGUACCGUAAUUUAGGAAUAACUUCUCAAGAAGAAGCUAUCCACUAUGAACAGCAUGCUGCUUUUCAAAAACAACAGAUCAAAUCAAAAACAGUAAAAAAAACGGAAAAGGACGAAAUUCGCAAGAAAAAAACUCCAUGUAGCCAUCACCAAAAGAGCUAGAGAAGCACAAAUACGACAAAUGGAACAGAUGGAACAACUACAACUUUAAACAGCUCCCAAAAACUGUACCGAAAAUAACUCAAAAUAAAGUACAGGAAGAUGAAGCUACAACCACAAAGUUCAACUUGAGUAGAAAUCAAACUUUAAAUUCAAUGUUAUCAACUGAUUAUUUUGUAUAAUGAAUUUUUAUGUGAAAUGUUGCCAUAUAUUGAAUUUCUUAUUUGUAAAUAAAUAUUUACAUUUUGUAAUGCCUAGUCAGGAAUAGAUUCUUGCUUUCUUCAAUUUCAAAACUGAAUCUGAAUAUAUCCAUCUUAAUUUCAAUACUCUUUCUGUAUUUUCAUUGACAUGAAAUUUUAAUGUAAGUUAUUGUUUUUGCUAUGUGAGUAUAUAAGACUGUAUAUAUAGUUAUUUGUAUAAAAGAAUAUAUUUAAUGAAUCAAUUAUA